Cyprinus carpio (common carp) is the source of this 1702-nucleotide long non-coding RNA. The record is from Ensembl. NCBI's taxonomy places the organism in Eukaryota, Metazoa, Chordata, Actinopteri, Cypriniformes, Cyprinidae.
UGAGAGAGUUUAUAUAUGAUCCAGCUCGAGGGGGCGGGGCCUGGGCAAUUCGUGCGUUCUGAAUGUUUUCUCAUUGGCUCGGAGGCCUUCGUUUUAACUCUACUAUUAUUUAAAACGCAUGCAUUUUUUGUUCUUUUUUAAUAUUAGCCAGGGCUUCUAUUUUUAUUGACAUAAAAUGUAUCCUUGGUAGAAAAGUAGGCCUACUGUCAUUAACAAUAAAGUCUAUAUUGAAUUGGAAUGCCUACAAUAUGUAGUUUUGACUAAAACUUUCUAUUAACAGAACAUUUCAAAAUUCGUUUCCAGCCAAUUAAUGAGUGUUAAUUUGAGACUGACAUUGAACCCACAGAGGAACUUGACACCGUUUUAGAAGCACCGAAAACAAAACAAUUAACGAGUCCUCCAGGCUGACCUGAGAACGGUUUUACUUGGCAACCCAAAUAAUUAACAAACGAUUAACGGGGAAACCAAACUCACCACAGACAGACAGGACCGCCAUGUCUUGAGUUCGUCGUGUGGCAGGGGUUAAAGUUGAACCUUCUCCGGCUCAGUGUGUUUGGGGUAAAUCACGCUGCACCUGCACGCGCCCAGACGCUUUUCUCUUCUUGUCAGCGCAAAAAACUCGACCAACAGCGUAAGUUCUCUCUACUGUUGACAGCGAAACGCACAACGUCUACAUGAUCCGGGCGACAAACUGCUGGAGAUUGUUUUCAGCGUGCACGAGGAUGUGUGUGUGUGCACUUUGGCGGGUCCGGCGGUGGCGGCCCGCGAGUGCUGUUACUCAGGAACAAGCAGGGCUUUUAUCACAUCUCCAGCUCUGACUCAGAAACUGCAUUUCGCUGCUCUCUCUCUUUCUUCGGGACGGUGAGCGGACGCAGUUCUCCGCAGCAGUUCAGUGCAGGAGCAGCCGCGCACGGCCUGUCUCUGUGAGUCAGAGGUUUUUACACCUUUCACUAAACUCGCACACACACACACAUACAUCUCUGUCUCUCAGCCUACUCAGGCAUAUGCUGCUUAUGUCGACAUGUUUAUUGCUUUAAAACUGACCCCACAGAGAGAGGGAAUCCCAGGCCCCUGUCUGUCUGUCCUUCGGUCUCUGGAGACGUCAAACCAGCACUCUCGUCUCUGAACGCUCGUGUCAGUUCAACUGAUUGAAUGCUGGGUGAAUGCAAGUAAAGUGAGAUGCUUUUGUAUUUAAUAUCAGUGUAUUCUGUGUGAUUUUAGCGAUCUAAACUGCUAUCAUUUGAGGGGCCUAAACAUUUGAAUCAUAUUUUAUAACAACACCAAAUGAGAAAUGAUCAGAAAGCAGUAACGUCUUGCAUCACCUGUACUCACGCCAGUAGUUCUAUAUAUUGUCAUCUUCUCAUUAUUCGUCACACGCAGACAGAUUGUUGACUACCAGCGUAAACUCCACUUUGCAUCUUAUUCUGUCCUGGCUAAGAUCACAUGUAAAUCAUCCAAACAUUUUUUUUCCCCCCUAGUUUGGAAAACCGAAAAGAGAUGUUACUUUGAAUAGACAGGUAGAGAUUAUUUCACAGACAAAAUGCAUGCACUGAAUUUAUAAUCUUUUUUUAAAAUUCAUUUUAGCAAGCACUUGUAUCCAAAACAAUGUAUUGAAUGCAUCUGUAAUAUUUAAAUGUAAAAUAUAAAUGUCUAUAUAUUUAUAUAAAAUAAAUGAAUAUAUAUAUUUCUAAAACUAUUUAUU